GACGAACGCUGGCGGCGUGCUUAACACAUGCAAGUCGAACGGAAAGGCACUGCUUUUGUGGGGUGCUCGAGUGGCGAACGGGUGAGUAACAGGUGAGUAACCUGCCCUUGACUUUGGGAUAACUUCAGGAAACUGGGGCUAAUACCGGAUAGGAGCUCAUCCUGCAUGGUGGGGGUUGGAACGUUUCGGCGGUCGGGGCUGGACUCGCGGCUUAUCAGCUUGUUGGUGGGGUAGUGGCUUACCAAGGCUUUGACGGGUAGCCGGCCUGAGUGGGUGACCGGCCACAUUGGGACUGAGAUACGGCCCAGACUCCUACGGGAGGCAGCAGUGGGGAAUAUUGCACAAUGGGCGGAAGCCUGAUGCAGCAACGCCGCGUGCGGGAUGACGGCCUUCGGGUUGUAAACCGCUUUCGCCUGUGACGAAGCGUGAGUGACGGUAAUGGGUAAAGAAGCACCGGCUAACUACGUG
This 468-nucleotide ribosomal RNA is filed under the name uncultured bacterium. RNAcentral's name for it is "partial 16S ribosomal RNA". It matches the Rfam family "Bacterial small subunit ribosomal RNA", at positions 28 to 507 of the family's 1533-position model. The record is from RNAcentral.